RNAcentral lists this ribosomal RNA (497 nucleotides) under uncultured bacterium. RNAcentral's name for it is "partial 16S ribosomal RNA". It matches the Rfam family "Bacterial small subunit ribosomal RNA", at positions 28 to 507 of the family's 1533-position model. The record is from RNAcentral.
GAUGAACGCUGGCGGCGUGCCUAAUACAUGCAAGUCGAGCGAACGGACGAGAAGCUUGCUUUUCUGAUGUUAGCGGCGGACGGGUGAGUAACACGUGGAUAACCUACCUAUAAGACUGGGAUAACUUCGGGAAACCGGAGCUAAUACCGGAUAAUAUUUUGAACCGCAUGGUUCAAAAGUGAAAGACGGUCUUGCUGUCACUUAUAGAUGGAUCCGCGCUGCAUUAGCUAGUUGGUAAGGUAACGGCUUACCAAGGCAACGAUGCAUAGCCGACCUGAGAGAGUGAUCGGCCACACUGGAGCUGAGACAAGGUCCAGACUCCUACGGGAGGCAGCAGUAGGGAAUCUUACGCAAUGGGCGAAAGCCUGACAGAGCAACGCCGCGUGAGUGAUGAAGGUCUUCGGAUCGUAAAACUCUGUUAUUAGAGAAGAACAUAUGUGUAAGUAACUGUGCACAUCUUGACGGUACCUAAUCAGAAAGCCACGGCUAACUACGUG